Molecule: transfer RNA, 28 nt
Filed under: Haemaphysalis montgomeryi
Lineage: Eukaryota; Metazoa; Arthropoda; Arachnida; Ixodida; Ixodidae
Description: tRNA-His
Source: RNAcentral
UGUUUAAUUAGUUUAAGUUUAAAAUAAU